This 1199-nucleotide long non-coding RNA is filed under the name Homo sapiens (human). RNAcentral describes it as "HSALNT0160351". The record is from RNAcentral. Lineage: Eukaryota; Metazoa; Chordata; Mammalia; Primates; Hominidae.
UUACAGAAGGGAUAAAGCCCCAAAAGUGUCCCCCGACCUUGAUCCACCACUGCCAGUUGGCUCUUAAAAGUUCUACAGAGCUACAUUUUUCCCGUCAAUGUAGAUUGUGAUGAAAAAUUAAAUUGGCUCAUGAGCCAUAUACAGAAGACUUCUAAAAUCAACACUGAAGUGUUUCCCUUUCUCAGGAUUUGGCUGUGAAGCGUGACCAACCAAGCCAGGAGGAAGGGGAGGGAUCUUGGAGCUGGCCCACGAUCUGCAAAGAGGAAAGGAUGGCAGGGGAGGGGCAGAGAGGAGCGGCAUAUCUCAGCUCAGAAGCAGACGGAGGAGCUGCAGCUGAAGGCGCCAGCUUGAGCAAACAUAUGGAAGUGGGAAGCACAGAGCAUGUGAAGGAAACUGUUUAUUACAGUUGGGAUAAAAUAAAAGGAAAGUUCACAUGAAGGAGCUGUGCGGCAUACUGAAGUAUGGAGGUUGCCUGAAGGAAAAGAAUUUAUGCCAACCGUUUGAUCAACAAGCUGAACUAGCAGUUUUUGUUUAUAGAAUAUCAUUUUUACAUGAAAUAAAAACUAAAAGUAUUAGUAUUUAAAGUUGGGUAUUUGGCACACACUUUCUCAAACGCAAAAUUAGCCUGUUGCUUCAAAAAAAAAUAAUAACUGACCUAUUUGUUGCCAAUGAUAAAAGUCAAGCCUUCAAACAAAAAUUAGAUACUUGGAAAAAUUGUAUCUGCCACCAAGAGUGUGACAGCUUUCCCAAUAUGCAGACGGUUAAUAAGACGGUAUUGUGUCCUUAAAAAUUUGUAGAGGGUAGAUCUCAUGUUAAGUGUUUUUAAUACACAAAAUAAAAAUAAAACACAAAGACACAAGGAAACUUUGGAGGUGAUGGACACGUUUAUCACCUGGAUUGUGGAGAUGGUAAAUGUAAUAUAAAGUUUAUUUGCAAUGUGGAAUAUGGAGCCAUAUGAGUGAAUGUUUCUCACUUUGUGGUAUUUAAAUCCAUUGGUCUUUCUUUCAUUUUGGAUCUUUCUUAUUCAUGCAUGAUUUGGAAAAUACUGGCUCAUGGAAAUAAAUGUUAGCACAUUUUAUAAUGCCAAAUACAGGAGUGUAUACAUUUGUCCAAACUCAACAAAUUCUAUACAUUGAUUAUAUGCAGGUUUUUGUAUACCAAUUAUAUCUCAAUAAAGCUGGAGGGGAAGAAGACUUUUC